This is a long non-coding RNA of Phasianus colchicus (ring-necked pheasant), 1575 nucleotides long. The record is from Ensembl. NCBI's taxonomy places the organism in Eukaryota, Metazoa, Chordata, Aves, Galliformes, Phasianidae.
CCCCCCGUCACCCCCCCGUGUCACCCAGCCGCCCCGCCCCCCAGGUGUGUAAGUACGACUUUGUGGAGGUGCGCAGCGGGCUGACGGCCGACUCCAAGCUGCACGGGAAGUUCUGCGGCGCGGCGCGGCCGGCCGUCAUCACGUCGCAGUACAACAACAUGCGCAUCGAGUUCAAGUCCGACAACACCGUGUCCAAGAAGGGCUUCAAGGCGCACUUCUUCUCAGAUAAAGACGAAUGCUCGGCGAACAACGGCGGCUGCCAGCACGACUGCGUCAACUCGUGGGGCAGCUACGAGUGCCGCUGCCGCAGCGGCUUCGUGCUGCACGACAACAUGCACGACUGCAAGGAGGCCGGCUGCGAGCACAACGUGACGGCGGCGCGGGGCGCCAUCCGCAGCCCCAACUGGCCGAGCCGCUACCCCAGCAGGAAGGAGUGCGAGUGGAGCAUCGCCACGGCCGCGGGGCACCGCGUGCGCCUGGUACGGAGCGGGGCGCCUGCGCGGGGCCGGGCGGGGCAUUGCGGGGCACUGCGGGGCACUGCGGGGCACUGCGGGGCAUUGCGGGGCAUUGCGGGGCAUUGCGGGGCACUGCGGGGCAUUGCGGGGCACUGCGGGGCACUGCGGGGCAUUGCGGGGCACUGCGGGGCAUUGCGGGGCACUGCAUGGCAGCACAUAGCACUGCAUGGCAUUGCGGGGCACUGCGGGGCACUGCAUGGCAUUGCGGGGCAUUGCAGGGCAGCAUAUGGCAUUGCAUGGUGGUGCAUGGCAUUGCAUGGCAGUACAUGGCAGUACAUGGCAUUGCAUGGCAGUACAUGGCAUUACAUGGCAGUGCAUGGCAGUACAUAGCACUGCAUGGCAUUGCAUGGCAUUACAUGGCAGUGUAUGGCAGUACAUGGCAUUGCAUGGCAUUACAUGGCAGUACAUGGCUUUGCAUGGCAGUGCAUGGCAGUAUAUGGCUUUGCAUGGCAUUGCAUGGCUUUGCAUGGCAGUGCAUGGCAUUGCAUGGCGGUGCAUGGCACUGCAUGGCAUUGCGUUGCAUUGCAUGGCAUUGCAUGGCAGUGCAUGGUGGUGCAUGGCAUUGCAUGGCAUUGCAUGGCAUUAUAUGGCAUUGCAUGGCAUUACAUGGCACUGCAUUGCACUGUGUGGCACUGCAUGACCCUGCGUGGCACUGCAUGGCCUGACAUGGCACUGCAUGGCACUGCAUGGCACCGGACGUGUCACACCCAUGGCACUGCAUGGCACUGCCUGUGUGCCAUCCUAUGGCACUGCAUGUCAUGUGUGUCACAUCCACGGCACUGCAUGGCACCACAUGGCUGUGUGGCAUUACGUGGUGUCGUGUGGCACCACGUGUCCCCACGUGUGGCCCAUCCCACGUCCCCUUGUCCCACCCCAUAACCCCACAUGUCCCCAUCCCGUGUCCCAUCCCAUAGCCCCACAUGUCCCACCCCCUGUCCCAUCCUGUGUCCCAUCCCAUAAGUCCACAUGUCCCCACACGUCCCAUCCCAUAACCCCACAUGUCCCCAUCCCACAUCCCAUCCCACGUCCCCGCAUGUCCCCAUCUUGUGUCCCAUCCCAU